This 76-nucleotide transfer RNA is filed under the name Chryseobacterium indoltheticum. RNAcentral describes it as "tRNA-Gln". It matches the Rfam family "tRNA". Rfam says of the family: Transfer RNA (tRNA) molecules are approximately 80 nucleotides in length. RNAcentral also lists the same sequence under 12 other names. The record is from RNAcentral. Lineage: Bacteria; Pseudomonadati; Bacteroidota; Flavobacteriia; Flavobacteriales; Weeksellaceae.
UGAUUCAUAGUGUAAUUGGUCAGCACACAAGACUUUGACUCUUGUUGUUCAGGUUCGAGUCCUGAUGAAUCAACAA